AACACCGACAAGUUGAACGCAUAUUGCACAUCGUACUACAGUACGAUGUACACAUUUUUGAGUGCCUAUAUUUAUCGAUUCAACUAUACGUGCGCUCCUUCGAACCUCCAACCACACCAGGUCGGUGGGGCGGGGCGACGUAUGCGUAGUGAUGUUUUCCCGCCUUCGGUGCGCGGCAAAACAUUGAAAAUAGUCAGACGUGGUGGCCCGCCACCGCGGUUGAUGAAUACAUCCCAGGACGCUCGGUCUUGCGCGCGCGGCGCCGCGUGCAAGACUGUGCUGUGUGUAUUCCAUCCACCCAUUGACGUAUUGUGCGCGUAUAAUUAGGCCUCAAAUAAUGUGUGAC
Molecule: ribosomal RNA, 346 nt
Filed under: Aedes cretinus
Lineage: Eukaryota; Metazoa; Arthropoda; Insecta; Diptera; Culicidae
Description: eukaryotic LSU rRNA
Rfam family: 5.8S ribosomal RNA (bases 1-67)
Source: RNAcentral